This 451-nucleotide ribosomal RNA is filed under the name uncultured bacterium. RNAcentral's name for it is "partial 16S ribosomal RNA". It matches the Rfam family "Bacterial small subunit ribosomal RNA", at positions 354 to 796 of the family's 1533-position model. The record is from RNAcentral.
GUGGGGAAUAUUGGACAAUGGGGGGAACCCUGAUCCAGCCAUGCCGCGUGUGUGAAGAAGGCCUUUUGGUUGUAAAGCACUUUAAGCGAGGAGGAGGCUACCGAGAUUAAUACUCUUGGAUAGUGGACGUUACUCGCAGAAUAAGCACCGGCUGACUCUGUGCCAGCAGCCGCGGUAAUACAGAGGGUGCAAGCGUUAAUCGGAUUUACUGGGCGUAAAGCGCGCGUAGGUGGCCAAUUAAGUCAAAUGUGAAAUCCCCGAGCUUAACUUGGGAAUUGCAUUCGAUACUGGUUGGCUAGAGUAUGGGAGAGGAUGGUAGAAUUCCAGGUGUAGCGGUGAAAUGCGUAGAGAUCUGGAGGAAUACCGAUGGCGAAGGCAGCCAUCUGGCCUAAUACUGACACUGAGGUGCGAAAGCAUGGGGAGCAAACAGGAUUAGAUACCCCUGUAGUCC